Long non-coding RNA from Conger conger (European conger), 572 nucleotides. RefSeq lists it as uncharacterized. The transcript has 3 exons. The record is from RefSeq and is a predicted model, not a curated record. NCBI's taxonomy places the organism in Eukaryota, Metazoa, Chordata, Actinopteri, Anguilliformes, Congridae.
AACCCAAGGACAUCACCAAACGUUGGGUUUCCUCCUUUGUGAUGCUUUGCCAGGCCUUGACUGCAGCUGUCUUCAGUUGUUGUUUGUUUGCAGGUCUUUCUGCCUUAAGUUUUGUCUUAAGCAAGUGGAAUGCAUGCUCAAUCGGAUUGAGAUCAGACUUGGAUAAUGAUACGCCUACUUCCUGGAGAGUCUUCACUAGAUGUUGUGAAAGGGUUCUUCUUUACCAUGGAAAGGAUCCUGCGAUCAUCAACCGCUGUUGUCUUCCGUGGACGUCCGGGCCUUUUUGUGUUGCCGAGUUCACCACCUAAGGAUGGCCUGUUUCACUUGCAUUGAGAGCUCCUUUGACCGCAUGUUGUGGAUUCACAGCAACAGCUUCCAAAUGAAAAUGCCACACCUGAAAUCAACUCCAGACCUUUUACCUGCUUAAUUGAUGAUGAAAUAACAAGGGAAUAGCCCACACCUGCUCAUGAAACAGCUUUUGAGUCAAUUGUCCAAUUACUUUAGGUCCCUUGAAAUGAGGGGACUAUGUAUGAAGAUUGCUGCAAUUCCUAAACCCUUCCUCCAAUUUUGAU